RNAcentral lists this ribosomal RNA (380 nucleotides) under uncultured eukaryote. Its description in RNAcentral is "partial 18S ribosomal RNA". It matches the Rfam family "Eukaryotic small subunit ribosomal RNA", at positions 592 to 976 of the family's 1831-position model. The record is from RNAcentral.
CAAUAGCGUAUAUUAAAGUUGUUGCAGUUAAAAAGCUCGUAGUUGGAUUUGUGGCGUACGGUGUGUUCCGGGCACUUGUUGUCUGUGUAACCUGCUGUUGCCAUCCUUGGGUGGAACCUGUGUGGCAUUAGGUUGUCGUGCAGGGGAUGCCCAUCAUUUACUGUGAAAAAAUUAGAGUGUUCAAAGCAGGCUUAUGCCGUUGAAUAUAUUAGCAUGGAAUAAUGAGAUAGGACUUUUUUGCUAUUUUGUUGGUUUGCGCAAGAAGGUAAUGAUUAAUAGGGACAGUUGGGGGUAUUCGUAUUCCAUUGUCAGAGGUGAAAUUCUUGGAUUUUUGGAAGACGAACUACUGCGAAAGCAUUUACCAAGGAUGUUUUCAUUAA